This 505-nucleotide ribosomal RNA is filed under the name uncultured bacterium. RNAcentral's name for it is "partial 16S ribosomal RNA". It matches the Rfam family "Bacterial small subunit ribosomal RNA", at positions 28 to 507 of the family's 1533-position model. The record is from RNAcentral.
GACGAACGCUGGCGGCGUGCCUAAUACAUGCAAGUCGAACGCACAGUUUAUACCGUAGCUUGCUACACCAUAAACUGUGAGUUGCGAACGGGUGAGUAACGCGUAGGUAACCUGCCUGGUAGCGGGGGAUAACUAUUGGAAACGAUAGCUAAUACCGCAUAAUAUUGAUUAUUGCAUGAUAAUUGAUUGAAAGAUGCUAUUGCAUCACUACCAGAUGGCCCUGCGUUGUAUUAGCUAGUAGGUGAGGUAACGGCUCACCUAGGCGACGAUACAUAGCCGACCUGAGAGGGGGAUCGGCCACACUGGGACUGAGACACGGCCCAGACGCCUACGGGAGGCAGCAGUAGGGAAUCUUCGGCAAUGGACGAAAGUCUGACCGAGCAACGCCGCGUGAGUGAAGAAGGGUUUCGGAUCGUAAAGCUCUGUUGUAAGAGAAGAACGGGUGUGAGAGUGGAAAGUUCACACUGUGACGGUAUCUUACCAGAAAGAGACGGCUAACUACGUG